Molecule: ribosomal RNA, 253 nt
Filed under: uncultured bacterium
Lineage: Bacteria
Description: partial 16S ribosomal RNA
Rfam family: Bacterial small subunit ribosomal RNA
Source: RNAcentral
UACAGAGGGUGCGAGCGUUGUCCGGAAUUACUGGGCGUAAAGCGUGCGCAGGCGGUGAUGUAAGACAGAUGUGAAAUCCCCGGGCUCAACCUGGGAACUGCAUUUGUGACUGCACGGCUAGAGUGUGUCAGAGGGGGGUAGAAUUCCACGUGUAGCAGUGAAAUGCGUAGAGAUGUGGAGGAAUACCGAUGGCGAAGGCAGCCCCCUGGGAUAACACUGACGCUCAUGCACGAAAGCGUGGGGAGCAAACAGG